GAAAGUCCCGAUUGUUGUUGGAAAUUGCACGGGCUUUGCUGUGAAUCGCACCUUUUUUCCGUAUACCCAAGGAGCACACUUACUGGUUCAUUUAGGUGUGGAUUUGUUCAGAAUUGAUGGAGUCAUCAGCAAUUUUGGCAUGCCAAUGGGCCCUUUUCAGCUUCAAGAUAUUGCUGGGUAUGGAGUUGCUUUGGCUGUAAAGAAAGAAUUUGAAUCUGCCUUUAAGGGGCGGACUUUUGGAUCUGAUCUGGUCGAAUUGUUGAUAAAAAAUGGGCGAAAUGGGAAGAACAACGGAAAGGGUUACUACAUUUAUCAGAGUGGAAGCAAGCCAAAACCAGAUCCCAGUGUGCAAGCUAUCAUUGAAGAAUCAAGAAGACGUGCUAACAUCAUGCCUGGUGGAAAGCCUGUACCAGUUAGU
Molecule: unclassified non-coding RNA, 418 nt
Filed under: Hevea brasiliensis (rubber tree)
Lineage: Eukaryota; Viridiplantae; Streptophyta; Magnoliopsida; Malpighiales; Euphorbiaceae
Source: RNAcentral